This 1344-nucleotide ribosomal RNA is filed under the name metagenome. RNAcentral's name for it is "bacterial LSU rRNA". It matches the Rfam family "Bacterial large subunit ribosomal RNA", at positions 1572 to 2925 of the family's 2925-position model. The record is from RNAcentral.
AGCUGCUACGGCAGCGAAGUGGGUGAUGUCAAGCUUCCAAGAAAAGCCCUAUACCCGUUAAGGCAUGAUGGCCUGUACCCGAAACCGACACAGGUGGGGUGGUAGAGAAUACCGAGGGGCGCGAGAUAACUCUCUCUAAGGAACUCGGCAAAAUGGCCCCGUAACUUCGGGAGAAGGGGUGCCACCGCAAGGUGGUCGCAGUGAAGAGGCCCAGGCGACUGUUUACCAAAAACACAGGUCUCCGCUAAGUCGCAAGACGAUGUAUGGGGGCUGACGCCUGCCCAGUGCCGGAAGGUUAAGGAAGCUGGUCAGCGAAAGCGAAGCUAGCGACUGAAGCCCCGGUGAACGGCGGCCGUAACUAUAACGGUCCUAAGGUAGCGAAAUUCCUUGUCGGGUAAGUUCCGACCCGCACGAAAGGCGUAACGAUCUGGGCGCUGUCUCGGAGAGAGGCUCGGCGAAAUAGAAUUGUCUGUGAAGAUGCGGACUACGUGCACCCGGACAGAAAGACCCUAUGAAGCUUUACUGUAGCUUGGUAUUGUGCUCGGGCUCGGAAUGCGCAGGAUAGGUGGGAGGCUAUGAACCAUUGCUUGUGGGUGAUGGUGAGCCACUGGUGAGAUACCACUCUUUCCGAGCUAGAGUUCUAACAGCCACCCGUUAUCCGGGGGCUGGACAGUAUCAGGUGGGCAGUUUGACUGGGGCGGUCGCCUCCUAAAAGGUAACGGAGGCGCGCAAAGGUUUGCUCAGGCUGGUUGGAAAUCAGCCGACGAGUGUAAAAGCAGAAGCAAGCUUGACUGUGAGACCUACAAGUCGAACAGGGAGGAAACUCGGCUUUAGUGAUCCGACGGUUCUGCGUGGAAGGGCCGUCGCUCAACGGAUAAAAGUUACUCUAAGGAUAACAGGCUGAUCUCCCCCAAGAGUUCACAUCGACGGGGAGGUUUGGCACCUCGAUGUCGGCUCAUCGCAACCUGGGGCUGAAGUCGGUUCCAAGGGUUGGGCUGUUCGCCCAUUAAAGCGGUACGCGAGCUGGGUUCAGAACGUCGUGAGACAGUUCGGUCCAUAUCCGGUGCAUGCGCAGGAAUAUUGAGAGGAUUUCUCCCUAGUACGAGAGGACCGGGAGGAACGCACCUCUGGUGUACCAGUUAUCGUGCCAACGGUAAACGCUGGGUAGCCAUGUGCGGAGAGGAUAACCGCUGAAAGCAUCUAAGUGGGAAGCCCACCUCAAGAUGAGUAUUCCCAUGGGGUAACCCAGUAAGGUCACGGGAAGAACACCCGUUGAUAGGCUCUACGUGGAAGCGCAGUAAUGUGUGAAGCGGAGGAGUACUAAUAGACCGAGGGCUUGACCGC